GAUGAAUGCUGGAGGCGUGCCUAACACGUCCGAGUCGAACGGAGAUUAUCGACGGAAGUUUUCGGAUGGAAGACGGUAAUCUUAGUGGCGGACGGAUGAGUAACGCGUGGGUAACCUGCCUAGUUCAGGGGGAAAGCGUCGGGAAACUGACGGUAAGUCCGCAUAGGACCACAUAUUCGCAUGGAUAAGUGGUGAAAAGGGAAACCUGGUAUGGGAUGGACCCGCGUCCGAUUACCCAGUUGGCAGGGUAAAGGCCUACCAAAGCUUCGAUCGGUACCCGGACUAAGAGGUCGGACGCCCACAUUGGGAGUGAGACACGGCCCAGACUCUUACGGGAGGCAGCAGUGUGGGAUAUUGCACAAUGGAGGAAACUAUGAUGCAGGGACGCCGCUUGAGUGAAGAAGUGCUCCGGCAUGUAAAGCUCUUUCAGCAGGGAAGAUGAUGACGGUACCUGAAUAAGAAGCCCCGGCUAAUUACGUGCCAGCAGCCGCGGUAAUACGUAGGGGGCAAGCGUUAUCCGGAUUUACUGGGUGUAAAGGGAGCGCAGGCGGUCUGGCAAGUUGAGAGUGGAAGCAGGGGGCUCAACCCCCUGACUGCUCCCAAAACUGUUGGACUGGAGUAUGGGAGAGGCAGGCGGAAUUCCUAGUGUAGCGGUGAAAUGCUCAGAUAUUAGGAAGAACACCGGUGGCGAAGGCGGCCUGCUGGACCAAAACUGACGCUGAGGCUCGAGAGCGUGGGGAGCGAACAGG
RNAcentral lists this ribosomal RNA (749 nucleotides) under uncultured Lachnospiraceae bacterium. RNAcentral describes it as "bacterial SSU rRNA". It matches the Rfam family "Bacterial small subunit ribosomal RNA", at positions 28 to 776 of the family's 1533-position model. The record is from RNAcentral. Lineage: Bacteria; Bacillati; Bacillota; Clostridia; Lachnospirales; Lachnospiraceae.